This 468-nucleotide ribosomal RNA is filed under the name uncultured bacterium. RNAcentral describes it as "partial 16S ribosomal RNA". It matches the Rfam family "Bacterial small subunit ribosomal RNA", at positions 28 to 507 of the family's 1533-position model. The record is from RNAcentral.
GACGAACGCUGGCGGCGUGCUUAACACAUGCAAGUCGAACGGAAAGGCCCUGCUUUUGUGGGGUGCUCGAGUGGCGAACGGGUGAGUAACACGUGAGUAACCUGCCCUUGACUUUGGAAUAACUUCAGGAAACUGGGGCUAAUACCGGAUAGGAGCUCCUGCUGCAUGGUGGGGGUUGGAAAGUUUCGGCGGUUGGGGAUGGACUCGCGGCUUAUCAGCUUGUUGGUGGGGUAGUGGCUUACCAAGGCUUUGACGGGUAGCCGGCCUGAGAGGGUGACCGGCCACAUUGGGACUGAGAUACGGCCCAGACUCCUACGGGAGGCAGCAGUGGGGAAUAUUGCACAAUGGGCGGAAGCCUGAUGCAGCAACGCCGCGUGCGGGAUGACGGCCUUCGGGUUGAAAACCGCUUUCGCCUGUGACGAAGCGUGAGUGACGGUAAUGGGUAAAGAAGCACCGGCUAACUACGUG